This 519-nucleotide ribosomal RNA is filed under the name uncultured eukaryote. RNAcentral's name for it is "SSU rRNA". It matches the Rfam family "Eukaryotic small subunit ribosomal RNA", at positions 1161 to 1700 of the family's 1831-position model. The record is from RNAcentral.
AGGGCACCACCAGGAGUGGAGCCUGCGGCUUAAUUUGACUCAACACGGGAAAACUUACCCGGCCCGGACACUGGCAGGAUUGACAGAUUGAGAGCUCUUUCUUGAUUCAGUGGGUGGUGGUGCAUGGCCGUUCUUAGUUGGUGGAGCGAUUUGUCUGGUUAAUUCCGAUAACGAACGAGACUCUAGCCUACUAAUAGGCCACCGGCUUACUGACGUCGGUGGGACUUCUUAGAGGGACAGGCGGCGAUUCAGCCGCACGAAACAGAGCAAUAACAGGUCUGUGAUGCCCUUAGAUGUCCGGGGCCGCACGCGCGCUACACUGAAGUGAUCAGCGUGCAUUACAAACCUGCUCCGUCAGGAGUGGGGAACCCAAUGAACCUUCUUCGUGAUUGGGAUAGGGGAUUGUAAUUAUUCCCCUUGAACGAGGAAUUUCCAGUAAGCGUGGGUCAUAAGCUCGCGUUGAUUACGUCCCUGCCCUUUGUACACACCGCCCGUCGCUACUACCGAUUGGAUGAUUCA